AGGGUGUAAACGCUGCAGACUUGGUGUUGGAAGCCCUUUGGGGGGCGAUUCAGUGCCGGAGAGAAGUUGUUAAGUCUGCUACUUGGGGAGUACGUCCGCAAGGAUGAAACUUAAAGGAAUUGGCGGGGGAGGCACCGCAACGGGAGGAGCGUGCGGUUUAAUUGGAUUCAACACCGUAAAACUACACCAGGGAAGACUGUUACAUGAAGGCCGAGAUGAAGACUCUGCUAGAUUUUCAGAGAGGAGGUGCAUGGCGUCAGUGACU
RNAcentral lists this ribosomal RNA (265 nucleotides) under uncultured archaeon. RNAcentral's name for it is "partial 16S ribosomal RNA". It matches the Rfam family "Archaeal small subunit ribosomal RNA", at positions 748 to 1008 of the family's 1478-position model. The record is from RNAcentral.